AGCAGCCGCGGUAAUUCCAGCUCCAAUAGCGUAUAUUAAAGUUGCUGCAGUUAAAAAGCUCGUAGUUGAAUUUCGGGACCAUCAUGUCGGUCGUGCCUCGGUACGUACUGGCAUUGUUGGUUUCUCCCUUCUGAAGAACCUUGAUGUCAUUAAUUUGGUGUCUUGGGGAAUCAGGACUGUUACUUUGAAAAAUUAGAGUGUUUAAAGCAGGCUCGCGCUUGAAUACAUUAGCAUGGAAUAAUGAAAUAGGACGUUUGAUUCUAUUUUGUUGGUUUCUAGGAUCGACGUAAUGAUUAAUAGGGAUAGUUGGGGCAUUAGAUUCAAUUGUCAGAGUGAAAUUCUUGGAUUUAUUGAAGUACUAACUACUG
Molecule: ribosomal RNA, 368 nt
Filed under: uncultured Glomus
Lineage: Eukaryota; Fungi; Glomeromycota; Glomeromycetes; Glomerales; Glomeraceae
Description: SSU rRNA
Rfam family: Eukaryotic small subunit ribosomal RNA
Source: RNAcentral